GUGCCAGCCGCCGCGGUAAUACCGGCAGCCCGAGUGAUGGCCGAUCUUAUUGGGCCUAAAGCGUCCGUAGCUGGCCGCGCAAGUCCGUCGGGAAAUCCACCUGCCCAACAGGUGGGCGUCCGGCGGAAACUGUGUGGCUUGGAACCGGAAGGCUCAGAGGGUACGUCCGGGGUAGGAGUGAAAUCCCGUAAUCCCGGACGGACCACCGAUGGCGAAAGCACUCUGUGAAGACGGCUUCGACAGUGAGGGGCGAAAGCCAGGGUCUCCAACCGGAUUAGAUACCCUGGUAGUCC
Molecule: ribosomal RNA, 293 nt
Filed under: uncultured bacterium
Lineage: Bacteria
Description: partial 16S ribosomal RNA
Rfam family: Archaeal small subunit ribosomal RNA
Source: RNAcentral